This 253-nucleotide ribosomal RNA is filed under the name uncultured bacterium. Its description in RNAcentral is "partial 16S ribosomal RNA". It matches the Rfam family "Bacterial small subunit ribosomal RNA", at positions 524 to 776 of the family's 1533-position model. The record is from RNAcentral.
UACGGAGGGGGCUAGCGUUGUUCGGAAUUACUGGGCGUAAAGCGCACGUAGGCGGCUUUGUAAGUUAGAGGUGAAAGCCCGGAGCUCAACUCCGGAAUUGCCUUUAAGACUGCAUCGCUCGAAUCAUGGAGAGGUGAGUGGAAUUCCGAGUGUAGAGGUGAAAUUCGUAGAUAUUCGGAAGAACACCAGUGGCGAAGGCGACUCACUGGACAUGUAUUGACGCUGAGGUACGAAAGCGUGGGGAGCAAACAGG